This 440-nucleotide ribosomal RNA is filed under the name uncultured bacterium. Its description in RNAcentral is "partial 16S ribosomal RNA". It matches the Rfam family "Bacterial small subunit ribosomal RNA", at positions 339 to 795 of the family's 1533-position model. The record is from RNAcentral.
CUACGGGGGGCAGCAGUGGGGAAUAUUGCACAAUGGAGGAAACUCUGAUGCAGCAACGCCGCGUGGAGGAUGACACUUUUCGGAGCGUAAACUCCUUUUAUAUAGGAAGAAGAUGACGGUACUAUAUGAAUAAGCGCCGGCUAACUCCGUGCCAGCAGCCGCGGUAAUACGGAGGGCGCAAGCGUUACUCGGAAUCACUGGGGCGUAAAGAGCGUGUAGGCGGAUUAAAAAGUCAGAAGUGAAAUCCUAUAGCUUAACUAUAGAACUGCUUCUGAAACUCUUAAUCUAGAAUAUGGGAGAGGUAGAUGGAAUUUCUGGUGUAGGGGUAAAAUCCGUAGAGAACAGAAGGAAUACCGAUUGCGAAGGCGAUCUACUAGAACAUUAUUGACGCUGAGACGCGAAAGCGUGGGGAGCAAACAGGAUUAGAUACCCCUGUAGUC